GAUGAACGCUGGCGGCGUGCCUAAUACAUGCAAGUCGAGCGAACAGAUGAGGAGCUUGCUCCUCUGACGUUAGCGGCGGACGGGUGAGUAACACGUGGAUAACCUACCUAUAAGACUGGGAUAACUUCGGGAAACCGGAGCUAAUACCGGAUAAUAUAUUGAACCGCAUGGUUCAAUAGUGAAAGACGGUUUUGCUGUCACUUAUAGAUGGAUCCGCGCCGCAUUAGCUAGUUGGUAAGGUAACGGCUUACCAAGGCAACGAUGCGUAGCCGACCUGAGAGGGGGAUCGGCCACACUGGAAGUGAGACACGGUCCAGACUCCUAAGGGAGGCAGCAGUAGGGAAUCUUCCGCAAUGGGCGAAAGCCUGACGGAGCAACGCCGCGUGAGUGAUGAAGGUCUUCGGAUCGUAAAACCCUGUUAUUAGGGAAGAACAAAUGUGUAAGUAACUAUGCACGUCUUGACGGUACCUAAUCAGAAAGCCACGGCUAACUACGUG
This 497-nucleotide ribosomal RNA is filed under the name uncultured bacterium. Its description in RNAcentral is "partial 16S ribosomal RNA". It matches the Rfam family "Bacterial small subunit ribosomal RNA", at positions 28 to 507 of the family's 1533-position model. The record is from RNAcentral.